RNAcentral lists this ribosomal RNA (806 nucleotides) under Streptococcus anginosus. RNAcentral's name for it is "bacterial SSU rRNA". It matches the Rfam family "Bacterial small subunit ribosomal RNA", at positions 645 to 1449 of the family's 1533-position model. Lineage: Bacteria; Bacillati; Bacillota; Bacilli; Lactobacillales; Streptococcaceae. The record is from RNAcentral.
AGUGCAGAAGGGGAGAGUGGAAUUUCCAUGUGUAGCGGUGAAAUGCGUAGAUAUAUGGAGGAACACCGGUGGCGAAAGCGGCUCUCUGGUCUGUAACUGACGCUGAGGCUCGAAAGCGUGGGGAGCGAACAGGAUUAGAUACCCUGGUAGUCCACGCCGUAAAACGAUGAGUGCUAGGUGUUAGGUCCUUUCCGGGACUUAGUGCCGCAGCUAACGCAUUAAGCACUCCGCCUGGGGAGUACGACCGCAAGGUUGAAACUCAAAGGAAUUGACGGGGGCCCGCACAAGCGGUGGAGCAUGUGGUUUAAUUCGAAGCAACGCGAAGAACCUUACCAGGUCUUGACAUCCCAGUGACUGCCCUAGAGAUAGGGUUUCCCUUCGGGGCACUGGUGACAGGUGGUGCAUGGUUGUCGUCAGCUCGUGUCGUGAGAUGUUGGGUUAAGUCCCGCAACGAGCGCAACCCUUAUUGUUAGUUGCCAUCAUUGAGUUGGGCACUCUAGCGAGACUGCCGGUAAUAAACCGGAGGAAGGUGGGGAUGACGUCAAAUCAUCAUGCCCCUUAUGACCUGGGCUACACACGUGCUACAAUGGCUGGUACAACGAGUCGCAAGCCGGUGACGGCAAGCUAAUCUCUGAAAGCCAGUCUCAGUUCGGAUUGUAGGCUGCAACUCGCCUACAUGAAGUCGGAAUCGCUAGUAAUCGCGGAUCAGCACGCCGCGGUGAAUACGUUCCCGGGCCUUGUACACACCGCCCGUCACACCACGAGAGUUUGUAACACCCGAAGUCGGUGAGGUAACCGUAAGGAGC